CAGCCGCCGCGGUAAUACCGGCGGCCCGAGUGGCGGCCACUAUUAUUGGGCCUAAAGCGUCCGUAGCCGGGCUGGUAAGUCCCCCGGGAAAUCUGGCGGCUUAACCGUCAGAAUUCCGGGGGAUACUGCCAGCCUAGGGACCGGGAGAGGCCGGGGGAAUUCCCGGGGUAGGGGUGAAAUCCUAUAAUCCCGGGAGGACCACCUGUGGCGAAGGCGCCCGGCUGGAACGGGUCCGACGGUGAGGGACGAAGGCCAGGGGAGCGAACCGGAUUAGAUGCCCGGGUAGUCCUGGCUGUAAACGAUGCAGGCUAGGUGUCGGGCCAGCCACGAGCUGGCCCGGUGCCGGAGGGAAGCCGUUAAGCCCGCCGCCUGGGGAGUACGGCCGCAAGGCUGAAACUUAAAGGAAUUGGCGGG
This 414-nucleotide ribosomal RNA is filed under the name uncultured microorganism. Its description in RNAcentral is "bacterial SSU rRNA". It matches the Rfam family "Archaeal small subunit ribosomal RNA", at positions 459 to 872 of the family's 1478-position model. The record is from RNAcentral.